This 253-nucleotide ribosomal RNA is filed under the name uncultured bacterium. RNAcentral's name for it is "partial 16S ribosomal RNA". It matches the Rfam family "Bacterial small subunit ribosomal RNA", at positions 524 to 776 of the family's 1533-position model. The record is from RNAcentral.
UACGUAGGGGGCAAGCGUUGUCCGGAUUCAUUGGGCGUAAAGAGCGUGUAGGCGGCCAGGUAGGUCGGUUGUGAAAACUGGAGGCUCAACCUUCAGAGGUCGACCGAAACCAUCUGGCUAGAGUCCGGGAGAGGAGAGUGGAAUCCCUGGUGUAGCGGUGAAAUGCGCAGAUAUCAGGAAGAACACCCGUGGCGAAAGCGGCUCUCUGGAACGGUACUGACGCUGAGGCGCGAAAGCUAGGGGAGCAAACGGG